Molecule: long non-coding RNA, 817 nt
Organism: Manis pentadactyla (Chinese pangolin)
Lineage: Eukaryota; Metazoa; Chordata; Mammalia; Pholidota; Manidae
Exons: 2
Source: RefSeq, a predicted model, not a curated record
GAUGAGCAUUCGCUGUUGGUCAGAUGCUCUGCUAACAGCUCCGUGUGCAUAUUCUCCGUAUGGCCUGCAAUAACCCAGAAAGACAGGAAUGUCGUUAUUCCCUUUUUCCUCCAAGGAAACUGAGAAAUUUCAGCUCUUGAAUAACUAGCAAGAGGACAAUUUGAAUGGAGAGGCUCUGAUUUUGAACCUGUGCUCUCAACCAGGGAGCCAAAUUGUGUCUCUGACCCCAGGAGGAAGGGCACAGGAACCAGCUCUGAGCACCAGCAGCCUUUGGACAUGCAGGUGGGGAGGGUGUAGCCGCUAGGAAGCAGCAGAGGGGAGGAGGCCUGGGAGGGGGACUGGAAAGGUAAGCAGUGUGUGGCAGAACUGGAAUUCUAGCUCACAUCAUCCCACACAAAGGCUUCCAUGCGUAACUCCCACGGUGCCUCCGGUUUUACUCAGAUCAAGUCCAGCUUUCAGUCGGGUGCAGGUGGCCCACUGCGCCCCGAGCACCCCGCAGGACAGCCGGGCUGUUGUCUUCCCCCAGGCAGGGCCACCUGAAGAGGAGUGGGUCUUGAUUCAAGGAGACCAGGGCAACAAGGUUUGACUCAUGACCCUGGGUGGGAGGGCCGGUGCUCUGCGCAGACUGGACAGAGCCUUGUGGACAUGGAUGGAGAAACACGGGCCCUUGUCACGGAAGUCCAGCUCUAUGUCCUUCUAAAGCCAUGCACACGCAUUUCACAUUAAUCCAAUGAAGAAUUUUAAAACAUGACCUAAACAGUGUGUAUGCAUAGAACAUUUAGUACAGUGCCUAGCCAAUAAAAACAAUUAAAAUAUU